This 1156-nucleotide long non-coding RNA is filed under the name Naja naja (Indian cobra). RNAcentral describes it as "lncRNA (ENSNNAG00000015509.1)". The record is from RNAcentral. Lineage: Eukaryota; Metazoa; Chordata; Lepidosauria; Squamata; Elapidae.
GGGCUGGCUGGGCAUUGGGGCCUCACUUGUCACCUUUCUGGAUGAGCAACAUGGUGCAGCUGAGCCUGUGUCUUGACUCGCCCGACGCUUGUUUCUUACUCUUUGUGGCUGAAAUGGGAAGUAGAACUCGGCCAGGAUUGGUUCAGCAGUUGUGAAACGUAUUUCAGGGGAAAUUGUGUGUGUGUUGUGUGCGUGUUAAAGGUAGAGACGGACAAAGCAACCGUGGGGUUUGAGAGCCUGGAAGAAUGCUACCUGGCCAAGAUCCUGGUCUCGAAGGACGGGAUGUUCCCAUCGGAUCCAUCAUCUGCAUCACCGUGGACAAGCCCGAACUUGUUGGCGCCUUCAAGGAUUACACUUUGGAUUCAGCAGCUGCCACCCCACCGGCCUCAGUGCCACCUCCACCUCCUCCAGCACCUCCCCAAAACCAGCAGCUCAGCCAUCCAAGCAGGCGCCCGGCAGCUCCUAUCCUCCCCAUAUGCAGGUACGCCCCACUCCCACUUUGCAUUCUUUCCUCGCCCACUUUUCUUAUGGCAUAUUUUGGCUUCGACCCCUCAUAACCUCCAGGUUCUGUGCCUGCCGUGAGCCUUCUCAUAACCUCCAUAACCAGCCUGCCAUGAGCCUCGUUUGCUGAGGGAGCAAGAGAUCACCUGGGCUGUCUUGAUGGACCUGAAGGCCUAGUGCAAACAGAGUGAACGGUUCCAUUGUCCAGGCCUGGGUGGGACUUCCAGUAUCUCUUGAGUGACUUUGAUUCUAUCUGUGGAAAUUGAAACUCGGAAUUUAAAUGCGCUGGUUAUAGAAUUAGAAAGUUCCUUUGCGUGAUGCUCAGGUCUCUCUCUCUUCUUCAGAGGAAUUUCCUCUCCAGUUAAAUGCCUGCAGUGCCUUUUGCUUUAUUUUUUUAAUGCAGGUGAGAAUGGCACAUGUUGAGUAGUGGUAGUGCUGGAUUUUGGAAGGCAUAUCAGUGCAGGGCUGCUUUUUCCCGGUUCUCCUAGAUUCUUCUUCCUGCCUCUCUCCCACGAUGACCAUGGGCACCGUUCAGAGGUGGGAAAAGAAAGUUGGCGAGAAGCUGAGCGAAGGAGAUUUAUUGGCAGAAAUUGAGACGGACAAAGCAACCAUAGGUGAGAAUUUCUCCAUCCUCCGCAGCAAAAUCUCGUGGGAG